RNAcentral lists this ribosomal RNA (398 nucleotides) under uncultured bacterium. RNAcentral's name for it is "bacterial SSU rRNA". It matches the Rfam family "Bacterial small subunit ribosomal RNA", at positions 361 to 776 of the family's 1533-position model. The record is from RNAcentral.
AUAUUGGACAAUGGGCGAAAGCCUGAUCCAGCCAUGCCGCGUGAGUGAUGAAGGCCUUAGGGUUGUAAAGCUCUUUCAGUGGGGACGAUAAUGACGGUACCCACAGAAGAAGCCCCGGCUAACUUCGUGCCAGCAGCCGCGGUAAUACGAAGGGGGCUAGCGUUGUUCGGAUUUACUGGGCGUAAAGCGCACGUAGGCGGAUUGUUAAGUGAGGGGUGAAAUCCCAGGGCUCAACCCUGGAACUGCCUUUCAUACUGGCAAUCUUGAGUCCGGAAGAGGUGAGUGGAACUCCUAGUGUAGAGGUGGAAUUCGUAGAUAUUCGGAAGAACACCAGUGGCGAAGGCGGCUCACUGGACGAUUGUUGACGCUGAGGUGCGAAAGCGUGGGGAGCAAACAGG